Onychomys torridus (southern grasshopper mouse) is the source of this 2194-nucleotide long non-coding RNA. RefSeq lists it as uncharacterized. The transcript has 3 exons. NCBI's taxonomy places the organism in Eukaryota, Metazoa, Chordata, Mammalia, Rodentia, Cricetidae. The record is from RefSeq and is a predicted model, not a curated record.
UUGUCCUCCUGUGAAUGGCACUAGAUGCUCACACAAACAACAGUGUCUCACCGAAGAGGAAUGGCCCCGAAGCAGGUCUCAGAAGGAGCUCAGUACAGUGAGCGAGCUUACCCUGUGGCUUGUGGUCGCGAGCCUUACAACUCUGCACCUUGUCGCUCCCGCGUUUGGCAAGGUCUUCUGGGUUCCUUCUGCAGUCCCAGCGAUGCGCUGGCACGGGGCGAGCGGAGAUGAUCUGAUGUUAGACCACCUCGAUGGUCCCUGCUGAUAUUUAAGCAAACACGAAGCCUGGCAGCACUGCAGGAAUGUUUGUUGGCCCCUGGCAACGGACGUCAUCUGCAAGAAGGGUCGCGCUAGAUUGACAUGGAAACAAAGGUCUCAUCAGGGCACAAGAGUCGUACACGGUUCUCCAGUUCGCCUCUCUGGGAAUGAGGUCCGAGGAGAUUUCGGAAUGGACCCUUGAGAAUGCGUGUGUUCUUGACCAGAAGGGCGGUACACCCGUGUUCCCCAAGAGUUGGACAUUCCACCCGCGCCCCGUCUGAGGUUCUCAGUCCUGCUCCGACCAGCCAACUCUGCCCACAGUAGAUCAGAAGGAAUCUUUGUUUCCUCCACUUGAAAGGAGUUCCCGAGCAGCCCACAGAUGCUGGGAGUCUUUCUGUAACUUUUUUCUGCUGAUGAUGUUACUACAAAAGAAGGAUCUGGGUCCCCAACUCACCCUGAAGUCUGGGCCAUCUUCUGGGCACUACAGAGUUCACUGUCCCUGCAGCUUCCAGGUGACCACCUGGGACUCCAGGGCAGCCAUGAAAGGAUCAGCAAAGCCACUGACACCCUUGCUCUUCUGUUGAUCCUUGCAUCUCCGAGCUGGUAUGGCAGCUGGACUUGGGAACACUGAACAUCUGGGAGCUUGGCCUGUUACUGUGAAGAUGUGUAAUGGCCUAGAGUGCAGAUCUGCUGAGGAAGCCAUGUGAUUCUUCUCACAUAUUGAUGGGGUUCCCACACCCUGGAAAGGACAGGCCAGCCGAGACCAUCAUGACCAAGGUCCUAGCAACCCUGUGGCCUGACCAGUGUGGGGUGAGCUGGCCUCCAGCUGCUGGCUAUACCCAGAAGUCCCCAGCAUCAUCUCCUGUGAGCUCUUUUUUUCUAAGACCUUCCACAGCCAAAACCGGCUUCAAGCAAAGCCUGUCUCACCAACCAACAAGCUGGAUUCCAAGCCUCCCUCCAGAAGUUUCAGUGGCCAGAUGGAAACACUGUCCUUCUAGGCAGACAGUUCCCAAGAGACACUUAAGAAUAUGUAGGACCCACUGCUGUAGAGCUGUAUCAAGAACCAAAAGCCUCUCUGUGCAGGAAAGCUUGAAAGCUGUGUGCUCUACAGCAGGGCAGCUCCGGGCACAGCGACCUCUCUCCCUCCUGUGGCUCAGACACUGGCGAAGACACAGCUGAAGGUCUAAUGUCAGGGAAGGAUGCUGGACGUCACUCCCUUCUGUUGGAAGGGUCCUUACAUCCAUCCACAAAGCGAAACGAACUCUGACUCCUGACCUCAGAGGGACUUGGACUCUGUGCAGAAGUAGGAGGUCUCAUAAUUCCGACCCGAGGAAUGUCCCGCCCCCCGCACCUCAUGCUGCCCCACCAGAUUCCAUGACAAAGAGGGUGCCAGGGUCCAGGUCCAACUUCCCUGGAGAACACGGCACAGUGAGGUCAUGAGGCUCUUUGGCAGCUGAUGGCAAGCUACCUUUGUUUUUUUCUAAGCUAGCUGAGACCUGAGACCAUUCCCCCUGAGGCAUGGAGGCACCACUCAUUACCAUCCCUCUUCAUCUUCUGGAGCCGUCCUUUCUGGGAGCCCUGGGAAAGGUGGCCUCCCAGAUACCAGAGACAAGUGCCUCUGUUGUUUGGGCAGAGCCGGCCUGGGUCGGGCAGGGUGCUGGAAGAGGACACACGGGCUUAGAUUCUGAGCUGCUCCUUCCUUCCCAACCCCCCUCCCAGCCCACCUGUGCAGAAGGUCCCCUCUUCCUGCUUCGGUUCGCUGAGCUGGCACAAAGAACCUCACUGAGCCCAAGGUCAGGGGCAUCAGAUUAGUCACUGAGCAGGCUUGAGAAGCCACCUUCUCAGGAUAAUGUCUGCUUGUUCUAGGCACAAACACAGGUCUAUUGGGAAGGACCUGGGGAGAUGGUUCAGAAACUAGGGCUGCAUUCUCCCAAAU